Molecule: ribosomal RNA, 398 nt
Filed under: uncultured Streptococcus sp.
Lineage: Bacteria; Bacillati; Bacillota; Bacilli; Lactobacillales; Streptococcaceae
Description: bacterial SSU rRNA
Rfam family: Bacterial small subunit ribosomal RNA
Source: RNAcentral
GACAUCCCGAUGCUAUUUCUAGAGAUAGAAAGUUACUUCGGUACAUCGGUGACAGGUGGUGCAUGGUUGUCGUCAGCUCGUGUCGUGAGAUGUUGGGUUAAGUCCCGCAACGAGCGCAACCCCUAUUGUUAGUUGCCAUCAUUCAGUUGGGCACUCUAGCGAGACUGCCGGUAAUAAACCGGAGGAAGGUGGGGAUGACGUCAAAUCAUCAUGCCCCUUAUGACCUGGGCUACACACGUGCUACAAUGGUUGGUACAACGAGUUGCGAGUCGGUGACGGCGAGCUAAUCUCUUAAAGCCAAUCUCAGUUCGGAUUGUAGGCUGCAACUCGCCUACAUGAAGUCGGAAUCGCUAGUAAUCGCGGAUCAGCACGCCGCGGUGAAUACGUUCCCGGGCCUU